RNAcentral lists this long non-coding RNA (823 nucleotides) under Parus major (Great Tit). RNAcentral describes it as "lncRNA (ENSPMJG00000004618.1)". The record is from RNAcentral. Lineage: Eukaryota; Metazoa; Chordata; Aves; Passeriformes; Paridae.
UUGGGUUCUGGGGUUCUGGUGGGUUCUGGUGGGGUUUGGUUUGGUUCUCCAAGGGUUUUGUUGAGUUCUGGUGGGAUUCCAUUGGGUUCUUGUUGGGUUUUGGUGGGUUCUCCAAGGGUUCCAUUGGGUUCUGGUGGGGUUUGGUUGGGUUCUCCAAGGGUUUCGUUGAGUUCUGGUUGGGUUCCAUUGGGUUCUGGGGUUCUGGUGGGUUCUGGUGGGGUUUGGUUUGGUUCUCCAAGGGUUCUGGUGGGUUCUGGUGGGGUUCCAUUGAGUUCUGGUGGGGUUCUGGUGGGUUCUGGUGGGGUUUGGUUUGGUUCUCCAAGGGUUCUGGUGGGUUCUGGUUGGGUUUCGUUGGGUUCUCCAAGGGUUUCGUUGAGUUCUGGUGGGAUUCCAUUGGGCUCUUGUUGGGUCUCGUUGGGUUCUGGUGGGGUUCUGGUGGGUUCUCCAAGGGUUCUGGUGGGUUCAGGUGGGAUUCCAUUGAGUUCUGGUGGGGUUUGGUUUGGUUCUCCAAGGGUUCUGGUGGGUUCAGGUGAGGUUCCAUUGGGUUCUGGGGUUCUGGUGGGUUCUGGUUGGGUUCCAUUGAGUUCUGGUGGGGUUCUGGUGGGGUCUGGUUGGGUUCUGGUGGGUUCUCCAAGGGUUCCAUUGGGUUCUCCAAGGGUUCCGUUGGGUUCUCCAAGGGUUCCAUUGGGUUCUGGUUGGGUUCUGGUGGGUUCUGGUGGGGUUCUGGUGGGUUCUGGUGGGGUUCUGGUGGGUUCUCCAAGGGUUCCGUUGAGUUCCGGUUGGGUCCCGUUGACUUUUCCCACAAUUCCAUUGGGUUUUCCAA